UUGUCGGGUAAGUUCCGACCUGCACGAAUGGUGUAAUGAUCCGGACGCUGUCUCAACCGUGAGCUCAGUGAAAUUGUAGUAUCGGUGAAGAUGCCGAUUACCCGCGAUGGGACGAAAAGACCCCGUGAACCUUUACUACAGCUUAGCAUUGACCUUGGUCAUCGGAUGUGUAGGAUAGGCCGGAGGCAUUGAAUCAUGCGCGCCAGCGUGUGUGGAGCCAUCCUUGAAAUACGGCCCUUCUGCUGCCUGAGGUCUAACGCGCGCUGCGCGGACACUGCUUGGUGGGUAGUUUGACUGGGGUGGUCGCCUCCAAAAGCGUAACGGAGGCUUCCAAAGGUGCCCUCGGGCCGAUUGGUAACCGGCCUUAUAGAGUGCAAUGGCAUAAGGGCGCUUGACUGGGAGGCAGACAUGCCGAGCAGGCAGGAAACUGGGGCAUAGUGAUCCGGCGGAUCCGUAUGGAAGGUCCGUCGCUCAAAGGAUAAAAGGUACUCCGGGGAUAACAGGCUGAUCC
Molecule: ribosomal RNA, 511 nt
Filed under: Sinorhizobium sp. GL28
Lineage: Bacteria; Pseudomonadati; Pseudomonadota; Alphaproteobacteria; Hyphomicrobiales; Rhizobiaceae
Description: bacterial LSU rRNA
Rfam family: Bacterial large subunit ribosomal RNA
Source: RNAcentral